GAUGAACGCUGGCGGCGUGCUUAACACAUGCAAGUCGAACGAAGCCCUUUAUUUGAUUUCCUUCGGGACUGAUUAUUUUGUGACUGAGUGGCGGAUGGGUGAGUAACGCGUGGGUAACCUGCCUUGUCCAGGGGGAUAACAGUUGGAUACGGCUGCUAAUCCCGCAUAAGCGCCCGGCAUCGCAUGAUGCUGUGUGAAAAACUCCGGUGGUAUAAGAUGGACCCGCGUUGGAUUAGCUAGGUGGUGAGGUAACGGCCUACGAAGGCGACGAUCCAUAGCCGACAUGAGAGGGUGACCGGCCACACUGGGACUGAGACGCAGCCCAAACUCCUGCGGGAGGCAGCAGUGGCGAAUAUUGCACAAUGGGCGGAGGCCUGAUGCAGCGACGCCGCGAGAGCGAAGAAGUAGUUCAGUAUGUAAAGCUCUAUCAGCAGGGAAGAUAAUGACGGUACCUGACUAAGAAGCACCGGCUAAAUACGUG
RNAcentral lists this ribosomal RNA (481 nucleotides) under uncultured bacterium. RNAcentral describes it as "partial 16S ribosomal RNA". It matches the Rfam family "Bacterial small subunit ribosomal RNA", at positions 28 to 507 of the family's 1533-position model. The record is from RNAcentral.